AACGGUGACAGUCUCAGGGAGACAACGGAGAUAACAGUUGGCGCGGUGCGAGUGGAUUCGACGGAGUGUAUCGAACCGGAACGCGUCUCCGUAGCCUUUUACUUUCACGAAUAAAACCGACAACGAUUUUCUACGAAGGUCACGA
Molecule: long non-coding RNA, 145 nt
Filed under: Neodiprion lecontei (redheaded pine sawfly)
Lineage: Eukaryota; Metazoa; Arthropoda; Insecta; Hymenoptera; Diprionidae
Also listed under: 1 other name
Description: uncharacterized LOC124293886
Source: RNAcentral